UUGGGAAUCUUGCACAAUGGGGGAAACCCUGAUGCAGCGACGCCGCGUGGAGGACGAAGGGUCUAGGCCUGUAAACUCCUUUUAUCGGGAAAGACUUAGGACGGUACCCGAUGAAUAAGGACCGGCUAACUACGUGCCAGCAGCCGCGGUAAGACGUAGGGUCCAAGCGUUGUCCGGAUUUACUGGGCGUAAAGAGCGCGUAGGCGGCUCGUUAAGUGUAGAGUGAAAUCUCUGGGCUCACCCCAGAAACCGCUGUGCAUACUGGCGAGCUGGAGUGUCGGAGAGGUAUGUGGAAUUCCUGGUGUAGCGGUGAAAUGCGUUGAUAUCAGGAGGAACACCCAUGGCGAAGGCAGCAUACUGGCCGACCACUGACGCUGAGGCGCGAAAGCGUGGGUAGCAAACAG
This 404-nucleotide ribosomal RNA is filed under the name uncultured bacterium. Its description in RNAcentral is "bacterial SSU rRNA". It matches the Rfam family "Bacterial small subunit ribosomal RNA", at positions 355 to 775 of the family's 1533-position model. The record is from RNAcentral.